Molecule: long non-coding RNA, 6700 nt
Organism: Mus musculus (house mouse)
Lineage: Eukaryota; Metazoa; Chordata; Mammalia; Rodentia; Muridae
Product: predicted gene 42529
Exons: 2
Source: RefSeq, a predicted model, not a curated record
GACCUAGGAUGAAAAUGCCAGUCAUUGUUAUCUUUAGAACUGCGAGGAUAACGAUAUACACAGAAUUCCUAGAAUGAACCAUUACUUAAGGUGUUUGAACUUCAGUGCCAAACAUUUCGAGGCCACAGGGCAGCAUAUACACUGAUAAUUGUCCAGGAGAGUGGACAUUUGAUGCAUCCUUCUGAAGAAAACACUGGCAUUGCCUAGCAAAGCUAUGGCCAUCCUACCUUCCACUCGGGGUUCUUACUUCUAGCACUCUGCUCUGAAGACUGAUGACCAUUAAAUAAUAGUAAAAUACAUGUGAGCAAGGGCCAUGGUAGUGGCUGCACCUAGGUCACUCUCCAUAGUCUGAAACUAUGGAAUGCUGGAAGCAACUCAUCUGCUCUCACUCACAGGGGAGUAACUGUGUUCCACCCACACAAUGGUUUCCUGGGCAACUGUGAAAAGAAGGAAGAAAACCCCAAGGCAGUGCUAACUAGGAAAAGCUCUCCAGAAAGACAUAGCAGGAAGGAGACAGGGAGAACGCAUACACGUUUCUACAGUUCUGAGCCAAGAGUGAGGAAGGCUGAACAGGAAACUGGACAGGUGAGGACUUGAGGGCCAGGGGAGGACCAGACUCGGGAGAGUUAGUUCCUCAGGGAGGAAAGAUACUUCUCCAAGCACAGCUUUUGUAUGGCUCUGACUCUGACAAUCAGUAACAGACCUUAGCUCUACUUGUUUAUUUUUGGUUUUUUGAGACAAGGUUUCUCUGUGUACUCCUGGCUGUCUUGGAACUUGUUCUAUAGACCAGGCUGGCCUUGAACUCAUGGGGAUUGGCCUGUGUCUGCCUCCUAAGUGCUGGGAUUAAAGGCAUGUACCCCCUUCCCCCAUGUGUAGACCUCAGUUUCCCCAUUCACUUCCCACUAAAGGGGAAGCAGUGUUGAUACAGGGCUGCAGCACAGAUCAUAGAUGAACCGGCAGUGCCUUGUGCUUCCAAAAUGUAAAAAACUGUUGAGAAAAUGAAGGAGGGUUACUGAGAGCUAUGGGUGGCCUGGACCUGGGCAGCCCUGGGACGUACCUAGGCUAGGCUCUCCCACUCUCUUAGGUAAUGAUUCCCUGACCUUCCACAUACUGACCUCAGUGGAUGAAUGGAUGACUUUGUUUCCUGUUCAGCAAGGAAACAAAAGCCAUUAAAAGAGGUCUGUGCAAGUGUCUACCUCUCCAUCAAUUUCUGCAUUAGUACCCUAUCUAAGUACUCUUGCCUCUCUGCUGAUGGAUACAGCUUGUCUCAUCUGUGUCUGGAUACAGAAUGUUCUGUGCUGACUGCCCAGUGUCAGCCUUGCCUCUCUUCCUUAGCUUCUUCAGCACACUCUACCCUCAGUGUGCCAGCAACACUUUACCUAAAAACUAUUCUCUUGAUCAUGAUUCUAUUUUCCUUUCAUUCCCUUUAAACAAGUGACGAAGCAGAGAUAUGAUACACCAAACUCUCAUAAGAACAGACAGGAAAGAGAGGCUACUUAGGAGCAGCCCAGGGGCAGAAGAGAGAAAGAGGUGAGGACAGUUUUACAGAGAGCAGCUAGACAUAGGGGUGGUGUGUGUGUGUGUGUGUGUGUGUGUGUGUGUGUGUGCAUGGCAGUCUUACCAGGACAGUAUUACAGAUACAGGUUACAGAGAGAACAAGCUAGACACAGGUGAAGACAGAACUAGCCAGAGAAUGACGAGGAGCCAAAAGAUUAGAACAGAUUGCCAGAGUUAGCUGGAAGCCAAGCAGAGCCAUUCAGUCAGAAGCAGAGAGAAGCUUCUGUCAGUUUGAAUCAGUCAGCUCAGGGAAAAGUUUGGCCCAGAACACCUUAGUUGAACUAGUUAGCCAUUGUCUCCUCUCUCUCUCUGUCUCUCUGUCUCUCUCUCUCACACACACACACACAGAGCAAUGUCUCUUCUUUCAGCGUACUGUGCUCCUCAGCACUCCACCUCUCUGCACUCCUCUGCACUCCCUGCCUCCUUUAUAUGUGCCCCAAUCCUGAUACCCAAGUGUCAAAACAGAGCCCUCUGUCUCCUCUUCUCCACUCAGAGGGAAUACAUUCAGUCUCUCUCCUUUGCAUCUCUCGGGUAUACCAAUGCUCUUAAAGUCUGCAUCUGCAGCUCUGACUACCGCUCAAGUACUCUGUCUGAUCUAAAGUUCAUGUGUCUGUGAGCACAGUCCUGAAGCCACAUCUCAGAAGCUUCCCAUGCAGCUGAGACACCAGCCGCAAACCAUGCCCCUGGGUUGUUAUCAAAUCCUCUUUUGCAAGUGGCAAUCCCAGUCUUCCGCAGCUUCGGACACCCAUACUGUUCCCCUACCUUCAGAGGGUAACCAGAACCUGUCUGCUGUUCUGAAUCGUGUUCACAGCUUCUAUCUACUUUGUCAUCCUCUCCUGCCUAGACUCUUACCAUGGCAUCCUCCUGGAGUCCCUGUUUGUGCCCACACCCUUUGUACUGUAUGUUCAAUGUAAUAGCUCAAGUGAUAUGUGAAAAGGUCAAAGCCUGUCCCUCCUCUACCUUCCUGUGACUUCCCAUCACCAUUGAAGUAAAAGUUAAAAUAUAUACAAGGGAGCCAGCAAGAUGGCUCAGUGGGUAAAGGUAACUGUUGUGUAACCCUGAUAGUCCAAGUUCAAUCCUGAGACCCUACAUCAAGGUAUACAGAAAGAACCAUCUCCAUAAAGCUGCCUUGCCCUCUGACCUCUGCACACAUGCCACACAUAAUAAUCAAUAUAAAAUGUAAAAGUAUAUCCAAGCACCCAUACACCUGGUUCUUUUGUGCCUCUCUCACACUCCACCAAAGCAUACAGCCACCGGGACUCUCCUCAGGCUCUGCAGGCUUCUCUUUCAGUUUUUUUCUGGCACCAUCAAUGAGGUCUUUUCUGAAUGCUGUCUAAAAUGGCAGCUGAGCAUCAGCUCUGUCCCCACCCUGUCCUUUCUUCUUCCCUUUGGCCCUCCAUUGUUUUGUUUGUUACCUCCUCCUCCCCCUCCAUCUUCCACCACAGUGCUCCCAGGAAGGAAUUCUUCUCUGCUGUGCACCUGGCAUUGAACAAUUACUCAAUAAAUACUAAUGGAAUCCACAAAUGAGCUACCUACCUUCUAUAACAGGCAGUGUGCGGAUUCAGUGUGACUCAGAUAGCAGGGAAUGACAUGGCUAUGUGGCUGAUGAACUUAACAGCUAGAGACAAACCCCACAUCAGUCAGCUACUACUCACCAAACACAAGAGGGAAGGAAGGAAGGCGAGCAGGGAAGGAGAGUGGGAGGGGAAGGGAGGGUUUGCAGGCACAGUGGAGGACAGAACGAAACCUGUAAGGAAAACACCACAGAACAAGGAAAUUCUUUUUUCUUUUUCUUUUCUUUUGUUUUUUGUUUUUUGGGUUUUUUUUUGUUUCUCAAGACAGGAGACAGGGUUUCACUGUAUAGCCCUGGCUGUCCUGGAACUCACUUUGUAGACCAGGCUGGCCUCGAACUCAGAAAUCCACCUGCCUCUGCCUCCUGAGUGCUGGGAUUAAAGGCGUGCACCACCACCGCCCAGCGAACAAGGAAAUUCUUAAGAUUUUUCAAACUGACUCUGCUACGAAACUUUAGACCCUCAGGAUCAGGGUCAACAAACAGAUCUGUAAGUUGGAAAGGAGCCUGCAGGACCACAGAAACUGACAGCAUGUGUUAUUUUACCACAACAGGACAGACUCGUGCAUGAAAUGGCAAAGUGAGAUGUGCACAGUGUGUGCAGAAAGCAAAAUUAAAGACAAAGUUGCCUGUGACCAUAAUGGAUAAAGAUAGGAAAUACAACAAAAAAAGCAAAUAGAAGCAGAAAUAAAUGUACUGUCAUACAAGUGACAUUCCUGAGGCAAGGUGCCUGACAGGGAAUGAGGACAAAAAGCAGAGUGUGAAGCUUGAAGAGCUUUCAGGCCCAGGGCUGCACAGAAGCUGGUGUCAGGAGCAGUGAACACUUCUGCUAGGACACUGCUCUUCCAGAGGACCCACGCAUGGUUCCUGGCCAUCUCAAAACAACGCAAAAGACUGAGACAACAGAAAGGACAGUAAGUGAGCAGAGAUGGGAGGAAUGGGGAAACUCUAACUGCAAAGAUGUGCCCCAAGGAAUUUAUCACGUGUGGUAGAGCUUGUCCUAUGGCACUUGCUCCUUUAGGGUGGGAGAUGCAGAUAGACAGGGCCCUGCCUUUACAACACUGCAUCCCAAAAGGGAGCCAGUUGUGGGGUGGAGACACUGUUAGGUGCUGUUAGGUGCUGAGGAGUGCUGUUGCAGGAUAUUUGAUCACACUGUGAACCCCGAGAUUGUGUUAUUUACUGAAAAACACCUGUUUCUAGUUGUAGUGUGGUUCGUCCUUAACACACACCUUUAAUCCCUCUGGCUAGAAUAUAGAAAAGUCCUUAAUAUACAUCUUUAAUCCAAAGCAAUGUAGGUAAGGUUAGUUUGUAGAAGGAAGCAGUCAAGUUUGAAAGUCUAACUGAGGGGCAGACAAAGUGACGAAUCCGAGAAAGAUCUGACAGAAUGAAUCAGAGAUAGGCUAUUCCCAACUCUCACAAGAAAAGGCCUAGAGGUUACUUAAGAGAGCACCACAGAAAAGAGAGAAAGAGAAAGGGGCAGUUUUACUUGGACAGUUACAGAAAGAUGGGUUGCAGAGAGAGAGAACAAGCUAGACACAGAAGACAGAAUGAGCCAGAAGAUGAGAACAUAUUGCCAAAGUCAGUACACGAUCAAGAAGAGCAAUUCAGUGAAGAGGCUGAGAGAGAAAGAGACAGAAUCAGUCGGCUUGAGCCAGAACAGCUGAGUUGAACCAGCCAGCCAGAGCUCAGAAAGAACUGGAAAAGGUAAGCUUAUUCAGCAGUAAGUCUCAAAGGUUGGAAACAUUCUAGAACUAGAUAAGAUUGUAUGGAGGCCAGAAGCUUCCAGGACUAGGGCGAGGUUAGCAGAUUGUGGCAGUAAGCCUCAGAGACAACAAUUACUUCAGGAGAACAGAAGCUACUUUUACAGAGUGCCAAGGAAGACAGCAAAGCUAAAAGAAGAACACGGGUUUGGAAAGGAGUAGGCACUGUUUUGCCGGGCCUCUUGCAAGGCUCCAUUUGACCAGCACCAUGAGGGCACAGAAGCCAGCAUGGCUGUCUAUGGGAACAGUGAGGGUAACUGAUGGAACAGCAAGGGCACAUCACAUGGUUAAUGUGCAAUGAGGGAGAGCAAGGAGCUAAUGCUGAGGCAUCUAUAUACAAUAAAUAAUCAAGAAAUGGAAGCCUGUGCCUACACAGGGGUCUUGGCUGGACUUUCACAUUUGUGCACACUGCAGGUGAAAAGGAAAGAGCCUUGUAGAUAAAAGGCACAAUAAAACAGGGAGGGACAGAGAUUAGUGUCAACAUCUGCAGAGCAGUGUGAGCUCUAGGUGUGAUGCCCAGAUACAAAAUAAAACUAAUAAAUAAAUGCAUAAGUACAUACAUGAGAGGAGAAGCCAGCCAAGAUGCUGGAGACUAUUAAAAGCUUGAGAGAUCAGAGGUUAGAAUGUUCCACCAGUAGGUCAGAUUAUAAUUAUUUGAUUUUAACUACUGAAAAAUCACUUUAUAAAGUUAAACAGCACAAAACAGAAUCUAAGUUAUUCUCCUGAAGUACUAUCGAAUUGCUUUUUAUUAAGAAACAAGGCAGCUGGGCUGUGGCGGCGCACACCUUUAAACCCACUGACUGCUCUUCCAAAGGUCCUGAGUUCAAAUCCCAGCAACCACAUGAUGGCUCACAACCAUCCGUAAUGAGAGAUCUGAUGCCCUCUUCUGGAGUGUCUUAAGUGUACUUACAUAUAAUAAAUAAAUAAAUCCUUUGGGUUUUUUUUUUUUUUUUUUUUUUUUUUGGUUUUUCUCUGAACAGCCCUGGCUAGCCUCAAACUUGGAAAUCCACCUGCCUCUGCCUUCCAAGUGCUGGGAUUAAAGGCGUGCGCUACCACUGCUCAGCAUAAAUAAAUCUUAAAAAAAAAAAGAAACCAAACCAAAACAAAAACCCCCAAAUUUAAGAAGGCAAUUGGUUCAAGAGAACCAAUGAAAAGCGACAUUAGACACUCUGUACAUUACCUAUCGGUUUUACAACAGAAACUACAACUCCUACGACAUCCACUUCAGAACAAGGAGGCUGAAAGGCUGGGUCUGACAGUCUGCUGAAGUGAAGGGACUCCCUGGGCUGGUAAACCUGGAGUAAAGUCUCACUGGAAACCUGCAGGAAGCAGAACAAAGAAUCAGCAUAUUGAGGCUCUAAGAAGGGCUCUGCAUUGAUCAAGGUGGAAACUGCAUAAGGAGAGGUGCAGACCGGCAGCUGUUGAUACUGAGUUCUUUUUGUGGCUGUUAACUGGAUGCUGGGCCGUUCAAAUUUACUCUUCGAUUUUGACACUGCAAGAUGAUAGAUUCUGUAUCUCUUUCCUUCUGUUAACAGGGAGGAUAAGUCUGAUGAUGGACGCCAGAUACUCAACAGAGCUGUUCAGAGAAAGGGACAUGACAGAAUCAAGGACUUGCCACAGAAAUCCUCCUGAAAGAUGCAGUAUUUCAACAUGGGCUUGCUCUAAUGGCCAGCAGGAGAGAGCUUCCCAGUGGGCUGGGGACUGAGGCUCGUCACCUGGCUCUUCCUCACCUCAAGGUGAUCUGGGUCUGAUGCAUACUGCACUGCUGCAUAGAGCUCUGCUCCAUCCUGCAGAGCAUGGACUUGCUGCCGUG